GCCGAGCCUUGUAACGUGGGCUUGUAACCUAAGUUGGGGCAACAAUGUGGUGGAAUGUUAGACUGAUCUUGAAGGCUGGGCUUGGCAGGCUAAUCUCUGGCUUGCCCUAUCCAAGCAUGGAGUUGGGCCAAGUGGUCUAUACGAAAGUAUAGGUUGCUUUGCCUUUAGAGUGGGGCGGACUGCGUGAGGCUGGUUUCACAGAGCAACGAAUAGUCUCCGCUCUGUGUAGUGGAAGGAAAACGGGCCGGUGCUUUCCAAGUUCAAUAAACACCUGAUGGGCUGUCUAAUUAAACCACCACUUUU
RNAcentral lists this signal recognition particle RNA (303 nucleotides) under Solanum tuberosum (potato). Its description in RNAcentral is "SRP RNA Plant_SRP". It matches the Rfam family "Plant signal recognition particle RNA". The record is from Rfam by way of RNAcentral. Lineage: Eukaryota; Viridiplantae; Streptophyta; Magnoliopsida; Solanales; Solanaceae.